This 408-nucleotide long non-coding RNA is filed under the name Bos taurus (domestic cattle). RNAcentral describes it as "long non-coding RNA NONBTAT022451". The record is from RNAcentral. Lineage: Eukaryota; Metazoa; Chordata; Mammalia; Artiodactyla; Bovidae.
UAAUUCAAGUAUACUUUAUUUUUUAAAAGGGUGCUUUAUAUCAAUCAUUAGUAUUCUGCCUUUCCUUAUAAAAUCUGAACAUUGUUUGAUAAAGAUUGUCAUCCAAAAAUAUUUGAUUUCUAAGCUUCAGUAGUUCACCAACAAGCAGUUGCUUGGUUACUUGAUCCAUUUUACAAUAUAUCACAAGCAUAACAAAUCCCUCCUCCUAAAUUAUCUUUGUUUAAUGUCCCAGUAGUUAACCUUGUAAACUCCCCUUGAACAGCACAUUUUAAAGAGUCAAAUCACCUUGCCAGAUCCAACUCUGACCUAGUUUGACCUCCCAGUUGGUCCAAUUCCCUUAGUCCCCCCAUUCAUGCUCACAGAACAAAGGAAUGUUUUAUAAAGCAUAGUCUAUUGAUCUCUAACUCU